This 424-nucleotide ribosomal RNA is filed under the name Burkholderia sp. TK2-F1-8. RNAcentral's name for it is "bacterial SSU rRNA". It matches the Rfam family "Bacterial small subunit ribosomal RNA", at positions 379 to 796 of the family's 1533-position model. Lineage: Bacteria; Pseudomonadati; Pseudomonadota; Betaproteobacteria; Burkholderiales; Burkholderiaceae. The record is from RNAcentral.
CGAGCUGAUCCAGCAUGCCGCGUGUGUGAAGAAGGCCUUCGGGUUGUAAAGCACUUUUGUCCGGAAAGAAAUCCUUGGCUCUAAUACAGUCGGGGGAUGACGGUACCGGAAGAAUAAGCACCGGCUAACUACGUGCCAGCAGCCGCGGUAAUACGUAGGGUGCGAGCGUUAAUCGGAAUUACUGGGCGUAAAGCGUGCGCAGGCGGUUUGCUAAGACCGAUGUGAAAUCCCCGGGCUCAACCUGGGAACUGCAUUGGUGACUGGCAGGCUAGAGUAUGGCAGAGGGGGGUAGAAUUCCACGUGUAGCAGUGAAAUGCGUAGAGAUGUGGAGGAAUACCGAUGGCGAAGGCAGCCCCCUGGGCCAAUACUGACGCUCAUGCACGAAAGCGUGGGGAGCAAACAGGAUUAGAUACCCCGGUAGUCA